UACGAAGGGGGCUAGCGUUGCUCGGAAUCACUGGGCGUAAAGCGCACGUAGGCGGAUCUUUAAGUCAGGGGUGAAAUCCUGGAGCUCAACUCCAGAACUGCCUUUGAUACUGGGGAUCUCGAGUCCGGAAGAGGUGAGUGGAACUCCGAGUGUAGAGGUGAAAUUCGUAGAUAUUCGCAAGAACACCAGUGGCGAAGGCGGCCGACUGGUCCGGUUCUGACGCUGAGGCGCGAAAGCGUGGGGAGCAAACAGG
Molecule: ribosomal RNA, 253 nt
Filed under: uncultured bacterium
Lineage: Bacteria
Description: partial 16S ribosomal RNA
Rfam family: Bacterial small subunit ribosomal RNA
Source: RNAcentral